AGGACGAGCGCUGGCGGCGUGCCUAACACAUGCAAGUCGAACGGGAUCCGCAAGGAUUCAGUGGCGCACGGGUGCGUAACACGUGAGGAACAUAGCCAUCGGCGGGGGAUAGCCGGCCCAACGGCCGGGUAAUACCGCGUACGAUCUUCGAGGGGCAUCCUCUGGAGAUGAAAGCAGCAAUGCGCCGAUGGGGUGCCUCGCGGCCUAUCAGCUAGUUGGUGAGGUAAUGGCUCACCAAGGCUACGACGGGUAGCUGGUCCGAGAGGAUGACCAGCCACAUUGGGACUGAGACACGGCCCAGACUCCUACGGGAGGCAGUCAGUGGGGAAUAUUGCGCAAUGGGGAAACCCUGACGCAGCGACGCCGCGUGUGGGAUGGAAGGUCUUCGGAUUGUAAACCACGUGUCGCGGGGACAAGGCUCGUGACGGUACCUCGAAAGGAAGCACCGGCUAAACUCUGUGCCAGCAGCCGC
RNAcentral lists this ribosomal RNA (472 nucleotides) under uncultured soil bacterium. RNAcentral describes it as "bacterial SSU rRNA". It matches the Rfam family "Bacterial small subunit ribosomal RNA", at positions 26 to 518 of the family's 1533-position model. The record is from RNAcentral.